UGGAAGAAACAGCACUCAAACCAUUGCCAUAUAACGUUACUGCAUCUUGGAGCUUGUGCUCAUUUUUUCCUUCAUCUUCUCUGAAUGAUUUUUCCUUGGGAGUGUAGUGGCGAAGACCCAAAUUCAGAGGAAAAUCUUCUCUGUCCAUGUGCAAGAACAAAGCCGCUUUGCAUGAUUUAAACACAAAUAUCUAUGAGGAGAACAUGAACAGUGCACUGCUGAGAGGUGCAAAUCAAAGUAACAUAUGCUACAUUCCCUUUUGCUAGUAGAAUUGAAGUUUUUGUCCUUCCUCUUUGUCUGAAAGGUGCUACAGAGGUAUUCCCUUCUCAUACCUUCCUGCUUGACACGUGACUGCAAGCACCCAUGCGAGAAAUAGAGGCCAAAACAUAAGAGGAAAAAACUCAAAUAAUAUAAGCUUAAUUUCUUCAUUCAAUAAUAAAAUGACAAUAAUAUCUAGGCAUUCCAAAAUUGAACAGAAAUGCACACACAAUGAGUGCAGAACCUGAUCCCUGCUCUCUUUAGAAUAAGUGUUCUCUUCUUCUUUACUUAAGGGGAGGAGUGGGGGAACGGAGUAUAGCAUGAAUAAUAAAUGUUACAAACCCGACCCCUGAUCUCUUUAGAGGAAGAGUUCUCUUCUUUUCUUGAGGGAUGGGGUGGCGGAAUGGAAUACAUGAAUAACAAAUGUUACAAGAAUAAAA
This is a long non-coding RNA of Gossypium arboreum, 698 nucleotides long. RefSeq lists it as uncharacterized. The record is from RefSeq and is a predicted model, not a curated record. NCBI's taxonomy places the organism in Eukaryota, Viridiplantae, Streptophyta, Magnoliopsida, Malvales, Malvaceae. The transcript is spliced from 2 exons.